RNAcentral lists this ribosomal RNA (184 nucleotides) under Clostridium moniliforme. RNAcentral describes it as "partial 16S ribosomal RNA". It matches the Rfam family "Bacterial small subunit ribosomal RNA", at positions 1 to 183 of the family's 1533-position model. Lineage: Bacteria; Bacillati; Bacillota; Clostridia; Eubacteriales; Clostridiaceae. The record is from RNAcentral.
UUUAUUGAGAGUUUGAUCCUGGCUCAGGACGAACGCUGGCGGCGUGCCUAACACAUGCAAGUCGAGCGAUGAAGUUUCCUUCGGGAAACGGAUUAGCGGCGGACGGGUGAGUAACACGUGGGUAACCUGCCUUGUAGAGGGGAAUAGCCUUCCGAAAGGAAGAUUAAUACCGCAUAAUAUUGUA